GACGAACGCUGGCGGCGGGCUUAACACAUGCAAGUCGAACGGAAAGGCCCUGCUUUUGUGGUGUUCUCGAGUGGCGAACGGGGGAGGAACACGUGAGUAACCUGCCCUUGACUUUGGGAUAACUUCAGGAAACUGGGGCUAAUACCGGAUAGGAUCUCCUGCUGCAUGGUGGGGGUUGGAAAGUCUCGGCGGUCGGGGAUGGACGCGCGGCUGAUCAGCUUGUUGGUGGGGGAGGGGCUGACCAAGGCUUUGACGGGUAGCCGGCCCGGGAGGGUGACCGGCGACAUUGCGCCUGAGGGACGGACCAGACUCGUACGGGAGGCAGCAGUGGCAAGUAUUGCCCAAUGGGACGAAGCCUGUUGAAGAGGCGUCGCGUGCGGGAUGACGGCCUUUGGGUUAUAAACCGCUUUAGCCUGUGACGCAGCGUGUGUGACGGUAAUGGGUAAAGAAGCACCGGCUAACUACGUG
Molecule: ribosomal RNA, 468 nt
Filed under: uncultured bacterium
Lineage: Bacteria
Description: partial 16S ribosomal RNA
Rfam family: Bacterial small subunit ribosomal RNA
Source: RNAcentral